CCAGAAUGUUCUUGGGCAAAUCUUGGGCAUUAUAAUCCUGACGAGUUUGAAUAGUGCUCCACAGUGAAGUCCAAAAACAUGAAACUACUUACCCAAAAUAGCAACGAACUUUCCAGCCACUUUGUGUUCUUUCAAAGCUGAAAAACCCCAAUCCCACAAUUACCCAUUGAGAAACCUCCUGCCCACCUUAGCUUCCCAUUAGCGCCGUGCCGUUCACCUUAGUCACUUGGCAUGCUCCAAACAGAACAAAGUAGGUGAGUUCAAGUGAGCCACGGGGCAGGAUCUCCCCUUUUCCAUUCUCAGGCUGAAUUCCCCCCCCCCUUUGUUCUUUCCAGGGGAGGGAGGAGUCUGGGAGAGACUGCUGAGGUCCAUUUCCAGACGGUACCUGUGGGCCACAGAGAGUCUUCUCAGAAAACAACCGGCCACUGCAGCUCUGCAGGGAGAAGCACAGCAGGAGCCACUUAGGGACCCAGGCAGGAGACGGAGAAACGGAGCUGGCCCUGGAUGUCCGGGGAGGGACAUCCCAAUUCACCUUGGACAGGCCAGCUUGCACAUGGCCCCGCUGUAGGACAGGGCUUGCCUGGCCGUCUGGGCUACCUGCCAUCUGGGACUCCCAGAGGAGCCUCCGCCGUCGCAGUCAGGCCAACAGACCUAUCGGAAUUAGAGGGGUCCUGACCUCGUCCUUGUGGGCCGUUUGGGGCAGGAUCCUCACCUGCCAGGCCACCCACUGGACGUGCUGGCCACACGUGCUCAGAGGAUUCCAGGGCUGCACUGUGCUUGGCUGCCCAGGCGGCUUGGACGGGGACACCGGCUACUCCACGUAGGAACUGGGCCAAGUCUCCAACUGGGUCAGUCGCCAUUCAUGUGUCGACUCUGUUCUGCGUGACCAGUGCUCGCAGAUGGCUUUUCACCCAGUGGCUCCGUGGCUAUGGUCAGCCCUCCCUACCUGCAGGUGCUCAUCCACCCCCAGCUGUGGACUGAACCCAGUGGAAAGAGGAAAUAUCUGUCGGGAGCGUGUACAGAGUCACUCCUCAUCAGAAUGCACCCUAACAACUGCUUCCACCCAUCGAACCCCAUUCGGCAUCAUGAGUAAUUGAGAGAUGACGUGAAGGACCCAGGAAGAUGUAUGGAGGGUCGGAGCCAAUACCACAUCGUGUCACAUGAAGACACCUCACAGGUCCGGUUACCCCUGACACCGAGGAAUGACUGUACUUGAAACGUGGACGGUGGUCCCCUGGGUGCCUAGCUGGAGGUCGGUCACUGGCUUUACUCUGGCCCCCCACACCAAGGAAACUCGACAUGCCCCCCACUCCCAUGGGCCUCGGUUACGGUCAACGACAAACCACUCUCCAGCGGCUGCAGAGAGCAAGAGGUGCACACUUUGGACCAAGAAUCAAAGAGAUGCUGAUGCAGUGGAGAUGCUGAUGGAUUUCUUCCCAGUUCUCUCUCAGCUCUUGGCAGUCUCUCAUGCGUUGUGGAGUCCUGGCACCAUGUUGGAGCUCGAAGCCCUGCGUCGGCCCUUCUGGGCAUGGUUCCACGUCUGCCAUUGGCUUCGCCAAGGGUUGACACCCCAGAGCCUUUCCCUCUCCCACAGGUUCUCCCUGGACACAGGCCAGCCCUGCCCUCGGGGAACCGAGCUUCUGCCAGCCUGGGGGGCUCCCAUCGGGGACUUCUGCUGCCCUCACUUGCCCGAGGGCCCGUGGAUCCAUGAUGUCCUCCUUCCCGUGAUGUGCAUCCGUCAGGCUGCGAUCGAUCGUCUCGGGGUUUGCUACAGCAACAGGAAGCUGACGGCCACACAGACUCUGGGCUCCAUCCACGGCAAGAUCUGGCAAGACACAUGUGGUUCCGGGACUGUGUCUGGGAACUGGGCCUCUGGGUGCUGUUCCCAGGGGGGCCAUGUGUCUGUGUGUCUCCCUUGGUACCCUGAGAUGGGUCUCUGUGGACCUGGGUUCCCUCCUUUUAAAGACAGGACUCUGAGCCGUUUUCAGGCCGAAUACACCAUGGUUCCAUUCCCAAA
Molecule: non-coding RNA, 2017 nt
Organism: Ictidomys tridecemlineatus (thirteen-lined ground squirrel)
Lineage: Eukaryota; Metazoa; Chordata; Mammalia; Rodentia; Sciuridae
Source: RefSeq, a predicted model, not a curated record